AGGGGUAACUAGAAUAAUAGCAAUAUUAUUUUGGCUAGACCGGCGCACGGGCUGCGUAACACGUUAUGCAACCUACCUUAUACUGGGGAAUAACUUCGAGAAAUCGGCGCUAAUACCCCAUAACACUGUCGAAGAGGCAUCUCUUUGCAUUUAAAGCUCCGGCGGUAUAAGAUGGGCAUGCGUCCAAUUAGCUAGUUGGUGAGGUAACGGCUCACCAAGGCUACGAUUGGUAGGGGUUCUGAGAGGAUGAUCCCCCACACUGGUACUGAGACACGGACCAGACUUCUACGGGAGGCAGCAGUGAGGAAUAUUGCGCAAUGGACGAAAGUCUGACGCAGCCAUGCCGCGUGCAGGAUGACCGCCCUAUGGGUUGUAAACUGCUUUUGUAUGGGAAUAAACCCUUCUACGUGUAGAAGGCUGAAGGUACCAUAAGAAUAAGCACCGGCUAACUCCGUGCCAGCAGCCGCGGUAAUAC
RNAcentral lists this ribosomal RNA (475 nucleotides) under uncultured Bacteroidota bacterium. Its description in RNAcentral is "bacterial SSU rRNA". It matches the Rfam family "Bacterial small subunit ribosomal RNA", at positions 64 to 526 of the family's 1533-position model. Lineage: Bacteria; Pseudomonadati; Bacteroidota. The record is from RNAcentral.